GGAGAGGUGGCCGAGCGGUUGAAGGCGCACGAUUGGAAAUCGUGUAUACAGGAGACUGUAUCGAGGGUUCGAAUCCCUCUCUCUCCGCCA
RNAcentral lists this transfer RNA (90 nucleotides) under Candidatus Pelagibacter sp. RNAcentral describes it as "tRNA-Ser". It matches the Rfam family "tRNA". Rfam says of the family: Transfer RNA (tRNA) molecules are approximately 80 nucleotides in length. Their secondary structure includes four short double-helical elements and three loops (D, anti-codon, and T loops). The record is from RNAcentral. RNAcentral also lists the same sequence under 1 other name. Lineage: Bacteria; Pseudomonadati; Pseudomonadota; Alphaproteobacteria; Candidatus Pelagibacterales; Candidatus Pelagibacteraceae.